AGAAGUUAAUAAGGGCGUACGGAGGAUGCCUGGGCAACAAGAGCCGAAGAAGGACGUGGUACACUGCGAAAAGCCUCGGGGAGCCGUGUGCAGGCGGAGAGCCGGGGAUGUCCGAAUGGGGAAACCCGCGUCAGAGGACCUGACGCACCAGCGGGUGAACACAUAGCCCGUUAGGGGGGAACGCGGGGAACUGAAACAUCUUAGUACCCGCAGGAAGAGAGAGGAUUCCCUGAGUAGUGGCGAGCGAAAGGGGAGGAGCCCAAACCCGUCGUGACUGAGUGGCAUAAGGGCCUAAGUCACGCGGGGGUUGUGGACCUGACAGAGCCGGGCCUUAUCCUGGCGACGGAGUGAGCAAAGGGGAUGCUAGUCGAAGCGCACUGGAAAGGCGCGUCAGAGAAGGUGAGAGCCCUGUAGACGAAAGCGUUUCCUCUCCGGUCAGGCACCAGAGUACCACCGGGCACGCUAAUCCGGUGGGAAGCGGGGCAGGCCACUGCCCAAGGCUAAAUACUCUUGUUGACCGAUAGUGAACCAGUACCGUGAGGGAAAGGUGAAAAGCACCCCGGCGAGGGGAGUGAAAAGAACCUGAAACCGUACGCUUACAAGCAGUCGGAGGACGAUCCUCCUAAGGGAGGGCGUUUGACGGCGUGCCUUUUGGAGAAUGAGCCAGCGAGUUACUUUUGGUGGCGAGGUUAAGGCAGGGACAGCCGGAGCCGUAGGGAAACCGAGUCCGAAGAGGGCGGAGAGUCGCCAGGAGUAGACACGAAACCAGGUGAGCUACCCAUGGGCAGGCUGAAGCGGGGUUAGACCCCCGUGGAGGGCCGAACCUUUCACUAUUGCAAAAGUGUGGGAUGACCUGUGGGUAGGGGUGAUAUGCCAAACGAACUUGGAGAUAGCUUGUUCUCCCCGAAAUAGCUUUAGGGCUAGCCCGGCGUGGUGAAUAGAGGAGGUAGAGCGCUGGAUGGGCAAGGGGGCUUACGCCUACCGACCCCAACCAAACUACGAAUGCCUUUAUUAAAGAGCGUCGGAGUCGGACUACGAAUGAUGAGAUCCGUAGUCGAGAGGGAAAGAGCCCAGACCAUCGGCUAAGGUCCCGGAGUAGGUACUAAGUGGGAAACGCUGUGAGCGUGCUGAGACAGCCAGGAGGUUGGCCUAGAAGCAGCCAUCCUUUAAAGAGUGCGUAAUAGCUCACUGGUCAAGCGCGGUUGCGCGGAAAAUGUAACGGGGCUGAAGUACCUUACCGAAGCCAUGGCUAUGCGAGAGCAUAGGGUAGGGGAGCGUUCUGUGGGCAGAGAAGCCGUACCGGAAGGAGCGGUGGAGCGCACAGGAGUGAGAAUGCUGGCAUGAGUAGCGCGAAACACGUGAGAACCGUGUUCGCCGAAAGCCCAAGGGUUCCGACGGAAGGGCGAUCCCCGUCGGGUGAGUCGGGCCUAAGCCGAGGCUGAAGAGCGUAGGCGAUGGACAUCCGGUUAAGAUUCCGGAACCGCCAGAAGGGAGUGAAGGGGGGACGCAGCAGGGGAGGUCAGCCGGGGGAUGGAAGACCCGGUGCCAAGCGUGAAGGACGAAGAGGGGAACAGGGAAAACCGUUUCCGGAGUUCGAGGCGUGAUGGCGUGCCGUAGGCAAGAAGUGACUGGGCUCAGCUGCCAAGAAAAGCCUCUAAGCGAAGAAGUUCUGGCGUCCGUACCGCAGACCGACACAGGUGGGCAGGUAGAGGAUACCAAGGCGAACGGGAGAACCCUCGUUAAGGAAUUAGGCAAAUUAGCCCCGUAACUUCGGGAGAAGGGGCGCCUCUGGGGGUGAGCUAUAAGCAUAGGGAGCCCGUGGAGGCCGCAGAGGAAUGGCUCUAGUGACUGGUUACCAAAACCACAGGUCUCUGCAAACGCGGAAGCGGCAGUAUAGGGGCUGACACCUGCCCAGUGCCGGAAGGUUAAAGGGAGGGGUAAGCGGAAGCGAAGCUCUGAACUGAAGCCCCGGUGAACGGCGGCCGUAACUAUAACGGUCCUAAGGUAGCGAAAUUCCUUGUCGGGUAAGUUCCGACCCGCACGAAAGGUGUAACAACUAGAGCACUGUCUCAACGAGGGGCCCGGCGAAAUUGAAGACGCGGUAAAGAUGCCGUGUACCCGCAGCAGGACAAAAAGACCCCGUGGAGCUUUACUGCAGUUUGGCACUGGAUUAGGGUUGCGUUUGUGUAGGAUAGGUGGGAGGCGGAGAAGCUGGGACGCGAGUUUCGGUGGAGCCGACGGUGAAAUACCACCCUGGCGCAACUUUGAUUCUAACCUAGGCCCGUGAACCGGGUUGGGGACCGUGCCAGGCGGGCAGUUUGACUGGGGUGGUCGCCUCCCAAAAGGUAACGGAGGCGCUCAAAGGUUCCCUCAGGUGGCAUGGAAACCCACCGGAGAGUGCAAAGGCAAAAGGGAGCUUGACUGUGAGGCUGACCAGCCGAGCAGGGACGCAAGUCGGACUUAGUGAUCCCACGGUACCGAGUGGAAGGGCCGUGGCUUACCGGAUAAAAGCUACCCCGGGGAUAACAGGGUGGUGAGGCCCAAGAGUUCACAUCGACGGCCUCGCUCGCCACCUCGAUGUCGGCUCGUCACAUCCUGGGGCUGGACAAGGUCCCAAGGGUUGGACUGUUCGUCCAUUAAAGUGGCACGCGAGCUGGGUUCAGACCGUCGUGAGACAGGUCGGUCUCUAUCCGCUGUGGGCGAAGGGGAUUUGAGGGGAGCUGCCUUCAGUACGAGAGGACCAGGGUGGACGGACCGCUGGUGUGCCAGUUGUGGCGCCAGCCGCAUCGCUGGGUAGCCAGGUCCGGCAGGGAUAACCGCUGAAAGCAUCUAAGUGGGAAGCCCGCCCCAAGAUGAGAUCCCCCACACCGGGAAGGUGGUAAGACCGCGGGAAGACGACCCGUUAGAUAGGCAGGGAGUGGAAGCGUUGUAAAGCGUGGAGCUAACCUGUACUAAAGGUCGAGGGCUUCUUCCG
Molecule: ribosomal RNA, 2974 nt
Filed under: activated sludge metagenome
Description: bacterial LSU rRNA
Rfam family: Bacterial large subunit ribosomal RNA
Source: RNAcentral